RNAcentral lists this microRNA (21 nucleotides) under Polistes canadensis. RNAcentral's name for it is "pca-miR-6001-5p". Lineage: Eukaryota; Metazoa; Arthropoda; Insecta; Hymenoptera; Vespidae. The record is from miRBase by way of RNAcentral.
GUGGGUAACGACUGACGGGAA